This 502-nucleotide ribosomal RNA is filed under the name uncultured bacterium. RNAcentral's name for it is "partial 16S ribosomal RNA". It matches the Rfam family "Bacterial small subunit ribosomal RNA", at positions 30 to 523 of the family's 1533-position model. The record is from RNAcentral.
AUUGAACGCUGGCGGAAUGCUUUACACAUGCAAGUCGAACGGCAGCACGGGUGCUUGCACCUGGUGGCGAGUGGCGGACGGGUGAGUAAUACAUCGGAACGUACCCAGUUAUGGGGGAUAACUAACCGAAAGGUUAGCUAAUACCGCAUACGCCCCGAGGGGGAAAGCGGGGGACCGUAAGGCCUCGCGUAAUUGGAGCGGCCGAUGUCUGAGUAGCUAGUUGGUGAGGUAAAGGCUCACCAAGGCGACGAUCAGUAGCAGGUCUGAGAGGAUGAUCUGCCACACUGGAACUGAGACACGGUCCAGACUCCUACGGGAGGCAGCAGUGGGGAAUUUUGGACAAUGGGCGAAAGCCUGAUCCAGCCAUUCCGCGUGAGUGAAGAAGGCCUUCGGGUUGUAAAGCUCUUUCGGCAGGGAAGAAACGGUCUAGGUUAAUACCUUGGGCUAAUGACGGUACCUGAAGAAGAAGCACCGGCUAACUACGUGCCAGCCGCCGCCGUAA